CUGUGUCCUUACACAUGCAGUCGACGGUAGCACAGAGAGCUUGCUCUCGGGUGACGAGUGGCUGUGUGUGGUGAGUAAUGUCUGGGAGACUGCCUGAUGGAGGGUGAUAACUACUGGAAACGGUAGCUAAUACCGCAUAACGUCGCAAGACUGAAGAGAGGGACCUUCGUGCCUCUUGCCAUCAGAUGUGCUCAGAUGGUAUUAGCUAGUAGGUGGCUAACGGCUCACCUAGGCGACGAUCUCGUAGCUGGUCUGAGAGGAUGACCAGCCACACUGACUGAGACACGAUCAGACUCAUACGGAGCAGCAGUGGAUAUGCACAUGGCGCAGCUGAUGCAGCAUGCGCGUGUAUGAGAGCUCGGUGUAGUACUACAGCGGAGAGUGUGUGUAUACGCAGCAUGACGUAUGCAGAGAGCACGCUACUCGUGCAGCAGCGCGUAUACGAGUGCAGCUAUCGCAUACUGCGUAGCACGAGCGUCUGUCAGUCGAUGAUCUGAUCACUGCACUGCAUCGACUGCAGCUGAGCUGCAGGCUGAUCAGCUAGCGUGAUGCUAAGAUCGAGAUCGUGCAGCGUCUGCAGACUGAGUCAGUCACGUGAUCACGAUCGAUCUGAGUCAGCGACAUCAUAGUGCUAGCUGCUCGACUACGUAUCACCUAGGUCGCGAGUAGUAUGAUGAUGACGCACUGACAUGGUAUCAUCACGAGACUACUGCUGAUCAGACUCGAUGC
RNAcentral lists this ribosomal RNA (729 nucleotides) under thermal spring bacterium 19. RNAcentral describes it as "partial 16S ribosomal RNA". The stretch from base 1 to 457 matches the Rfam family "Bacterial small subunit ribosomal RNA", at positions 42 to 540 of the family's 1533-position model. The record is from RNAcentral.